Molecule: ribosomal RNA, 492 nt
Filed under: uncultured bacterium
Lineage: Bacteria
Description: partial 16S ribosomal RNA
Rfam family: Bacterial small subunit ribosomal RNA
Source: RNAcentral
AGUGAACGCUGGCGGUAGGCCUAACACAUGCAAGUCGAACGGCAGCACAGUAAGAGCUUGCUCUUACGGGUGGCGAGUGGCGGACGGGUGAGGAAUACAUCGGAAUCUACUUUUUCGUGGGGGAUAACGUAGGGAAACUUACGCUAAUACCGCAUACGACCUACGGGUGAAAGCAGGGGAUCUUCGGACCUUGCGCGAUUGAAUGAGCCGAUGUCGGAUUAGCUAGUUGGCGGGGUAAAGGCCCACCAAGGCGACGAUCCGUAGCUGGUCUGAGAGGAUGAUCAGCCACACUGGAACUGAGACACGGUCCAGACGCCUACGGGAGGCAGCAGUGGGGAAUAUUGGACAAAGGGCGCAAGCAUGAUACAGCCAUACCGCGUGGGUGAAGAAGGCCUUCGGGUUGUAAAGCCCUUUUGUUGGGAAAGAAAAGCAGCAGGUUAAUACCCCGCUGUUCUGACGGUACCCAAAGAAUAAGCACCGGCUAACUUCGUG